CUUGGCGGCCAUAGCGCGGUGGUCCCACCUGAUCCCAUGCCGAACUCAGAAGUGAGCGCCGAUGGUAGUGUGGGGUCUCCCCAUGUGAGAGUAGGGAACUGCCAAGC
RNAcentral lists this ribosomal RNA (107 nucleotides) under Proteus mirabilis. The record is from RNAcentral. Lineage: Bacteria; Pseudomonadati; Pseudomonadota; Gammaproteobacteria; Enterobacterales; Morganellaceae.